UGAUUUAAUAAUUAAAGGGCUGCAGUAUAUUGACUGUACAAAGGUAGCAUAAUCAAUAGUCUUUUAAUUGAAGACUUGUAUGAAAGAUUUGAUGAAAUAUAAACUGUCUCUAAAUUAUUUAUAGAAAUUAAUUUUUUAAUUAAAAAGUUAAAAUAAAUUAAAAAGACGAGAAGACCCUAUAGAGUUUUAUAAUAAUAAAUUUUUUUUUUAAAUAUAAAAAUAAUAAAUUAAAAGGUUUAUUAUUAUUUUAUUGGGGUGAUAGAAAAAUUAAAAUAACUUUUUUUAAUAAAAAUACAUGAAUAAGUGAAUAAAUGAUCCAUAAUUAAUGAUUAUAAGAAAAAAUUACCUUAGGGAUAACAGCGUAAUUUUUUUUUUUAG
Molecule: ribosomal RNA, 378 nt
Filed under: Dione insularis
Lineage: Eukaryota; Metazoa; Arthropoda; Insecta; Lepidoptera; Nymphalidae
Description: Dione vanillae insularis partial 16S ribosomal RNA
Source: RNAcentral